AUUGAACGCUGGCGGCAGGCCUAACACAUGCAAGUCGAACGAGUGGCGGACGGGUGAGUAAUGUCUGGGAAACUGCCUGAUGGAGGGGGAUAACUACUGGAAACGGUAGCUAAUACCGCAUACCAUCGGAUGUGCCCAUAUGGGAGUAGCUAGUAGGUGGGGUAAACGCUCACCUAGGCGAAGAUCCCUAGCUGGUCUGAGAGGAUGACCAGUCCCACGUGAACGGAGACGCGACACAGACCCCUAUGGGAGGCCUGGGAGGGGAAGAUUGCACAUGGGGAGCAAGCCUGAUGCAGCCAUGCCGCGUGUAUGAAGAAGGCCUUCGGGUUGUAAAGUACUUUCAGUGGGGAGGCGUUACCCUCAGAAGAAGCACCGGCUAACUCCGUGCCAGCAGCCGCGGUAAUAC
This 406-nucleotide ribosomal RNA is filed under the name uncultured bacterium. Its description in RNAcentral is "partial 16S ribosomal RNA". It matches the Rfam family "Bacterial small subunit ribosomal RNA", at positions 30 to 526 of the family's 1533-position model. The record is from RNAcentral.